Molecule: long non-coding RNA, 381 nt
Organism: Xiphophorus hellerii (green swordtail)
Lineage: Eukaryota; Metazoa; Chordata; Actinopteri; Cyprinodontiformes; Poeciliidae
Exons: 2
Source: RefSeq, a predicted model, not a curated record
UCUUAUUUUCAUGUUUUUGUAAUUAUUUGUUUUCCAUUUCAUUCAAAUACCAGAUCAACUACUGAAAUCUGAUCAUGGAGCUAAAAUGAAUUGCUAAUAAUUUUACCUUUCCCUUGAUAUCUGAGUUAAUCCAGAAUUACAAUCAGUUCAGACAUUUUCAUCAUUUUAAAGUUUCAUUAUUUCUAUUGGUCCAGGCUCUGAAAGUGAGCGACCAUUAUCUAGUGGAGGUGAAGCUGAAGACUUUGGUGGAACAACAAGAUGAUGGUGAUGGUCUGACAGACAAGAUGGAAGAGCUCAAUCUUAACGAUGAAACAGAAAGACAGAAAGUGAGCCUGGCUCAUGGUUUUGCACUUUGUUCUAAAAAUCCCAGAUCUAAAAACA